AUUGAACGCUGGCGGCAUGCCUUACACAUGCAAGUCGAACGGCAGCACGGGUGCUUGCCCCUGGUGGCGAGUGGCGAACGGGUGAGUAAUACAUCGGAACAUGUCCUGUAGUGGGGGAUAGCCCGGCGAAAGCCGGAUUAAUACCGCAUACGAUCUACGGAUGAAAGCGGGGGACCUUCGGGCCUCGCGCUAUAGGGUUGGCCGAUGGCUGAUUAGCUAGUUGGUGGGGUAAAGGCCUACCAAGGCGACGAUCAGUAGCUGGUCUGAGAGGACGACCAGCCACACUGGGACUGAGACACGGCCCAGACUCCUACGGGAGGCAGCAGUGGGGAAUUUUGGACCAUGGGCGAAAGCCUGAUCCAGCAAUGCCGCGUGUGUGAAGAAGGCCUUCGGGUUGUAAAGCACUUUUGUCCGGAAAGAAAUCCUUGGCUCUAAUACAGUCGGGGGAUGACGGUACCGGAAGAAUAAGCACCGGCUAACUACGUG
This 486-nucleotide ribosomal RNA is filed under the name uncultured bacterium. RNAcentral describes it as "partial 16S ribosomal RNA". It matches the Rfam family "Bacterial small subunit ribosomal RNA", at positions 30 to 507 of the family's 1533-position model. The record is from RNAcentral.